UAGGGAAUCUUCGGCAAUGGACGAAAGUCUGACUGAGCAACGCCGCGUGAGCGAAGAAGGUUUUCGGGUCGUAAAACUCUGUUGGUAGAGAAGAACGUUGGUGAGAGUGGAAAGCUCAUCAAGUGACGGUAACUACCCAGAAAGGGACGGCUAACUACGUGCCAG
RNAcentral lists this ribosomal RNA (165 nucleotides) under uncultured bacterium. Its description in RNAcentral is "partial 16S rRNA". It matches the Rfam family "Bacterial small subunit ribosomal RNA", at positions 355 to 511 of the family's 1533-position model. The record is from RNAcentral.